UUUUGGCGGGUUAUUAAAAAUUCAAAUAUUAAUCUUGGCUAGUGUAGGGUUAUUAGCUUAGUUAAUUUAGCUAGGAAUGUAGUUAGAUCUCAACAAUAUAAAUAGAACCUUAGUCUCAGAUUUAUUCACUCAUUUUAAAAAGCCUAAAGAAUUCAAGCUCCCACUUUACUCCCUUUAUCUCGUCCUUACUAAGCUCUUUAUUUUAAACCCUGCAAAGUCAGGCUAUCAUAAAGUGUUUAAUUUCUUUCAUUUUCACCUCUCAAAUAGCACCCAUCACCAUAAUAUCUUGGUUGAGACACACAAAAUAUCACCACACAAAUAAGCUCUAUCAUAGUCACUCUCAACUCACUAGAAGCUAAAAACUCUCAACAUUGUAUCUCUCGUCCUUUAUAUACUACAAAGUUGUAGUUACCUUCUUCUAUUUAUUCACUUGGUUCCUCAAGAGUGAAAGAUACUACACUACACCACGCCACAAAUAUCCUCUCAACAUUUUUAUCAUCUCAACAUCACCAUCACCAUCACCCUUACACCGCCAUAAUAUUCUCAAGACCAUAAUUGUUUUCUCAUUUAUUCCUCCUCAAGUUUUGGAAAGCUUUAACAGUAGGUUUGGGCUCAAAGAGUUCUUCAUAGUGAAGAAUAGGAUUCCCCUUAAAAGUUACGGAUAAUCAUUGUUUCCAAGGAUCACCAUCAUUGCAAUCAAGGCUAGGACUCCACAUUCGAGAUAUAGGAGAUAUGUCUCUUAGAAUUAAGGCGUCAAACGAUACAGUACUUGCAGAAAUAAAAAACAUUCUGUCACUUAAGAUCAAAAAUAUCCGCCACGAAGAGGAUAAGAUUCUUAGAGCUCUGCGAGAGGUCAUCGCAAUUAAUGAAGAAAUUAAAAGAGUAGUAGAGGUGAGGGGAGCCUUAAUCAAAUCACGAGAAAAGUUUCUAGUGCUAAGGGCUGCUUUGUCACAUGUCCCCGAACUUCUUUACUAUAUCGAUGAAGUCUGGCACCGUGUCUCAAAUCUUGGCGACGCAA
Long non-coding RNA from Cannabis sativa, 1018 nucleotides. RefSeq lists it as uncharacterized. The record is from RefSeq and is a predicted model, not a curated record. NCBI's taxonomy places the organism in Eukaryota, Viridiplantae, Streptophyta, Magnoliopsida, Rosales, Cannabaceae. The transcript is spliced from 3 exons.